GAUGAACGCUGGCGGCGUGCUUAACACAUGCAAGUCGAACGGAUUUAACAGAAAGCUUGCUUUCGGUUAAAUUAGUGGCGGACGGGUGAGUAACGCGUGGAUAACCUGCCGUAUACAGGGGGAUAACACUUAGAAAUAGGUGCUAAUACCGCAUAAGCGCACAGUUUCGCAUGAGACAGUGUGAAAAACUCCGGUGGUAUACGAUGGAUCCGCGUCUGAUUAGGAGUUGGUGGGGUAACGGCCCACCAAGCCGACGAUCGGUAGCCGAACUGAGAGGUUGAACGGCCACAUUGGAACUGAGAUACGGUCCAGACUCCUACGGGAGGCAGCAGUGGGGAAUAUUGGGCAAUGGGCGAAAGCCUGACCCAGCGACGCCGCGUGAGGGAAGAAGGUCUUCGGAUUGUAAACCUUGUUGACAGGGAGAAACAAAUGACGUAACCUGUCGAGGAAGCCACGGCUAACUACGUGCCAGCAGCCGCGGU
This 482-nucleotide ribosomal RNA is filed under the name uncultured bacterium. RNAcentral's name for it is "bacterial SSU rRNA". It matches the Rfam family "Bacterial small subunit ribosomal RNA", at positions 28 to 521 of the family's 1533-position model. The record is from RNAcentral.